This 501-nucleotide ribosomal RNA is filed under the name uncultured bacterium. RNAcentral describes it as "partial 16S ribosomal RNA". It matches the Rfam family "Bacterial small subunit ribosomal RNA", at positions 30 to 523 of the family's 1533-position model. The record is from RNAcentral.
AUUGAACGCUGGCGGCAGGCUUAACACAUGCAAGUCGAGCGGGGGAAGGUAGCUUGCUACUGGACCUAGCGGCGGACGGGUGAGUAAUGCUUAGGAAUCUGCCUAUUAGUGGGGGACAACAUCUCGAAAGGGAUGCUAAUACCGCAUACGUCCUACGGGAGAAAGCAGGGGAUCUUCGGACCUUGCGCUAAUAGAUGAGCCUAAGUCGGAUUAGCUAGUUGGUGGGGUAAAGGCCUACCAAGGCGACGAUCUGUAGCGGGUCUGAGAGGAUGAUCCGCCACCCUGGGACUGGGACCCGGCCCAGACUCCUACGGGAGGCAGCAGUGGGGAAUAUUGGACAAUGGGGGGAACCCUGAUCUAGCCAUGCCGCGUGUGUGAAGAAGGCCUUAUGGUUGUAAAGCACUUUAAGCGAGGAGGAGGCUACUCUAGUUAAUACCUAGGGAUAGUGGACGUUACUCGCAGAAUAAGCACCGGCUAACUCUGUGCCAGCCGCCGCAGUAA